GAUGAACGCUAGCGGCAGGCUUAAUACAUGCAAGUCGAGGGACCGGCAAACGGGUGCGGAACACGUACGAACCUUCCCAAACUGGUGAAUAGCCCUCCGAAAGGAGGAUUAAUACACCGUAGGAUGGGCGUGCGCCUGAUUAGGUAGUUGGCGGGGUAACGGCCCACCAAGCCUGCGAUCAGUAACUGGUGUGAGAGCACGACCAGUCACACGGGCACUGAGACACGGGCCCGACUCCUACGGGAGGCAGCAGUAAGGAAUAUUGGUCAAUGGACGCAAGUCUGAACCAGCCAUGCCGCGUGGAGGAUGAAGGCCUCUGGGUUGUAAACUUCUUUUAUCUGGGAUGACGGUACCAGAGGAAUAAGCACCGGCUAACUCCGUGCCAGCAGCCGCGGUAAUACGGAGGGUGCAAGCGUUAUCCGGAUUCACUGGGUUUAAAGGGAGCGUAGGUGGGCAGGUAAGUCAGUGGUGAAAUCUUUGGGCUUAACCCGAAAACUGCCAUUGAUACUAUCUGUCUUGAAUAUUCUGGAGGUGAGCGGAAUAUGUCAUGUAGCGGUGAAAUGCUUAGAUAUGACAUAGAACACCAAUUGCGAAGGCAGCUCACUACGGAAUUAUUGACACUGAGGCUCGAAAGCGUGGGGAUCAAACAGGAUUAGAUACCCUGGUAGUCCACGCCCUAAACGAUGGAUACUCGACAUCAGUGUCUGAGCGAAAGCAUUAAGUA
Molecule: ribosomal RNA, 724 nt
Filed under: uncultured Acidobacteriota bacterium
Lineage: Bacteria; Pseudomonadati; Acidobacteriota
Description: bacterial SSU rRNA
Rfam family: Bacterial small subunit ribosomal RNA
Source: RNAcentral